CAGCCCCGCGGUAAUACCGGCGGCCCGAGUGGCGGUCACUAUUAUUGGGCUUAAAGCGUCCGUAGCCGGGUUGGGAAGUCCUCCGGGAAAUCUGGCCGCUUAACGGUCAGAAUGCCGGAGGAUACUCCCAGCCUAGGGAGCGGGAGAGGCCGAGGGUAUUCCCGGAGUAGGGGUGAAAUCCUAUAAUCCCGGGAGGACCACCUGUGGCGAAGGCGCUCGGCUGGAACGCGUCCGACGGUGAGGGACGAAGGCCAGGGGAGCAAACCGGAUUAGAUACCCGGGUAGUCCUGGCUGUAAACGAUGCGGACUUUGUGUCGGACAAGCUAUGAGCUUGUCCGGUGCCGGAGGGAAACCGUUAAGUCCGCCGCCUGGGGAGUACGGCCGCAAGGCUGAAACUUAAAGGAAUUGGCGGG
This 413-nucleotide ribosomal RNA is filed under the name uncultured microorganism. RNAcentral's name for it is "bacterial SSU rRNA". It matches the Rfam family "Archaeal small subunit ribosomal RNA", at positions 459 to 872 of the family's 1478-position model. The record is from RNAcentral.